This 330-nucleotide ribosomal RNA is filed under the name uncultured bacterium. RNAcentral describes it as "bacterial SSU rRNA". It matches the Rfam family "Bacterial small subunit ribosomal RNA", at positions 568 to 898 of the family's 1533-position model. The record is from RNAcentral.
CGCGUAGGCGGCUACCUAAGUCUCGGGUGAAAUCUUUCGGCUUAACCGGAAACGUGCCUGGGAUACUGGGUAGCUGGAGGGAGAUAGGGGCGGACGGAACUUCCGGUGGAGCGGUGAAAUGCGUUGAUAUCGGAAGGAACGCCGGUGGCGAAAGCGGUCCGCUGGAUCUCUACUGACGCUGAGGCGCGAAAGCCAGGGGAGCAAACGGGAUUAGAUACCCCGGUAGUCCUGGCCCUAAACGAUGGGUACUGGGUAGUGGGCUGUCAUGGGCUCACUGCCGCAGCAAAAGUGGUAAGUACCCCGCCUGGGGAGUAUGGUCGCAAGGCUGAA